CCCUUAGAUGUUCUGGGCCGCACGCGUGCUACACUGACCGGCGCAACAAGCUUUUUUCCUUGGCUCGACAGGCCUGGGUAAUCUUCGAACGCCGGUCGUGAUGGGGAUAGAUCCUUGCAAUUUUUGAUCUUCAACGAGGAAUUCCUAGUAAACGCAAGUCAUCAGCUUGCAUUGAUUACGUCCCUGCCCUUUGUACACACCGCCCGUCGCACCUACCGAUUGAAUGGUCCGGUGAAAUCUUCGGAUCUGAGAGAUGUCUGAUUAAUUUCGGACGCCUUUUGGAAAAGUUGUUUAAACCUUACCAUUUAGAGGAAGGUGAAGUCGUAACA
This 329-nucleotide ribosomal RNA is filed under the name uncultured eukaryote. RNAcentral's name for it is "partial 18S ribosomal RNA". It matches the Rfam family "Eukaryotic small subunit ribosomal RNA", at positions 1470 to 1796 of the family's 1831-position model. The record is from RNAcentral.